Molecule: ribosomal RNA, 509 nt
Filed under: uncultured eukaryote
Lineage: Eukaryota
Description: SSU rRNA
Rfam family: Eukaryotic small subunit ribosomal RNA
Source: RNAcentral
GAUCUCAGUUCUAGUCGGGCGGUCCGCCUAACGGCGGUAACUGCCCGUUCUGAACAAGCCAGCCGGUUUCCCUUGAUGAUCUUCACCGGUUGUCUCGGUUGACCGGCAAGUUUACUUUGAAUAAAUUAGAGUGCUUAAAGCAGGCGUGACGCCUGAACAAUGGUGCAUGGAAUAAUGGAAUAGGACCUCGGUUCUAUUUUGUUGGUUUUCGGAACACGAGGUAAUGAUUAAGAAGAACAGACGGGGGCAUUCGUAUUGCGACGCUAGAGGUGAAAUUCUUGGACCGUCGCAAGACGAACUACUGCGAAAGCAUUUGCCAAGAAUGUUUCCAUUAAUCAAGAACGAAAGUUAGAGGAUCGAAGGCGAUCAGAUACCGCCCUAGUUCUAACCAUAAACGAUGCCAGCCAGCGAUCCGGCUGUGUUCCUCAAAUGACACGCCGGGCAGCUUCCGGGAAACCAAAGCUUUUGGGUUCCGGGGGAAGUAUGGUUGCAAAGCUGAAACUUAAAGG